CGAACGGGUGCGUAACACAUGAGUCAUCUGCCCAGAAGUGGGGAAUAGCUCGGCGAAAGCCGGAUUAAUACCGCAUGUGGUCGUAAGACCAAAGCCGGGGCAACCUGGCGCUUUCGGAGGAGCUCGUGGCCUAUCAGCUAGUUGGUGAGGUAACGGCUUACCAAGGCAACGACGGGUAGCUGGUCUGAGAGGACGACCAGCCACACUGGAACUGAGAUACGGUCCAGACACCUACGGGUGGCAGCAGUCGAGAAUUUUUCUCAAUGGGGGAAACCCUGAAGGAGCGACGCCGCGUGGAGGAUGAAUGCUUUCGGGUUGUAAACUCCUGUCAUUUGGGAACAAGGCCUUACGUUAACUGCGUGGAGGAUNGAUAGUACCAGAAGAGGAAGAGACGGCUAACUCUGUGCCAGCAGCCGCGGUAAUACAGAGGUCUCGAGCGUNGUUCGGAUUCAUUGGGCGUA
Molecule: ribosomal RNA, 461 nt
Filed under: uncultured bacterium
Lineage: Bacteria
Description: bacterial SSU rRNA
Rfam family: Bacterial small subunit ribosomal RNA
Source: RNAcentral